This 462-nucleotide ribosomal RNA is filed under the name uncultured Fusibacter sp. RNAcentral describes it as "bacterial SSU rRNA". It matches the Rfam family "Bacterial small subunit ribosomal RNA", at positions 924 to 1382 of the family's 1533-position model. Lineage: Bacteria; Bacillati; Bacillota; Clostridia; Eubacteriales; Fusibacteraceae. The record is from RNAcentral.
CACAAGCAGCGGAGCAUGUGGUUUAAUUCGAAGCAACGACGAAGAACCUUACCAGAUCUUGACAUCCAAUUGACCAUCUUUUAAUCGAGAUUUUGCCUUCGGGUACAAUUGAGACAGGUGGUGCAUGGUUGUCGUCAGCUCGUGUCGUGAGAUGUUGGGUUGAGUCCCGCAACGAGCGCAACCCUUGUGUUUAGUUGCAAACAGGUCAAGCUGUGCACUCUAGACAGACUGCCGUGGACAACACGGAGGAAGGUGGGGAUGACGUCAAAUCAUCAUGCCCCUUAUGAUCUGGGCUACACACGUGCUACAAUGGCCGGCACAACGGGCAGCGAAGGAGCGAUCCGGAGCGAAUCCUAAAAAGCCGGUCCCAGUUCGGAUUGCAGGCUGAAACUCGCCUACAUGAAGUUGGAGUUGCUAGUAAUCGCGAAUCAGAAUGUCGCGGUGAAUGCGUUCCCGGGUCUU